RNAcentral lists this signal recognition particle RNA (97 nucleotides) under Holosporales bacterium. Its description in RNAcentral is "signal recognition particle sRNA small type". It matches the Rfam family "Bacterial small signal recognition particle RNA". From Rfam's summary of the family: The signal recognition particle (SRP) is a universally conserved ribonucleoprotein involved in the co-translational targeting of proteins to membranes. Archaeal SRP consists of a 7S RNA and homologues of the eukaryotic SRP19 and SRP54 proteins. The record is from RNAcentral. Lineage: Bacteria; Pseudomonadati; Pseudomonadota; Alphaproteobacteria; Holosporales.
UGUGGGAGGUGCUGGACAGAAACGAUCGCAGACCCGGUCAGGUCCGGAAGGAAGCAGCCGCGGCGAAAGAAUCUGGGUCAGUACCGCCCCCCCUAAA